ACUAGCUUGCUAGUUAUUAAAUUAGUGGCAGACGGGUGAGUAACGCGUGGGAAUCUACCCAAAGGUACGGAAUAACUACCAGAAAUGGUUGCUAAUACCGUAUAAUAUCUCCGGAUUAAAGAUUUAUCGCCUUUGGAGGAGCCCGCGUUUGAUUAGGUAGUUGGUGGGGUAAUGGCUCACCAAGCCGACGAUCAAUAGCUGGUCUGAGAGGAUGAUCAGCCACACUGGAACUUAGACACGGUCCAGACUCC
This 251-nucleotide ribosomal RNA is filed under the name uncultured bacterium. Its description in RNAcentral is "partial 16S ribosomal RNA". It matches the Rfam family "Bacterial small subunit ribosomal RNA", at positions 74 to 339 of the family's 1533-position model. The record is from RNAcentral.